This is an RNA transcript of Arachis stenosperma, 1216 nucleotides long. It is a transcript of the gene named thioredoxin-like protein CITRX, chloroplastic, with no coding region annotated. NCBI's taxonomy places the organism in Eukaryota, Viridiplantae, Streptophyta, Magnoliopsida, Fabales, Fabaceae. The transcript has 5 exons. The record is from RefSeq and is a predicted model, not a curated record.
AGAGAUAAACCCCAUAACAGAAACAUAAACCCCAAACUCUUCUUCUUCUUCUUCUUCUUCUUCUUCUUCUUCUCCUCCUCCCCUCAAAAUGGUUCUUCUCCAUUGCAAUCAGAGUGUGGCCACACUCACACUCUCACCCAUUUCAUUCUUCUCUUCCAAUUCCAAACCAUUCUCCGUUUCUCUUCGCAACAACAACAACCCUACCUUUUCAACAAGAACCAAUUCCCCUUUCUCACUCUCCACCAUGCCAAGAAAAUUCCUAUGCAACCCUCCCAAGGGUAAAUACGUCAGAGAAGAUUACCUCGUGAAAAAGUUGUCAGCAGAGGAAAUUCAAGAGCUUGUAAAGGGAGAAAGAAAUGUGCCUCUUAUUAUUGAUUUUUAUGCAACAUGGUGUGGACCCUGCAUCUUAAUGGCUCAAGAACUUGAAAUGCUUGCAGUUGAGUACGAGAAGAAUGCGAUGAUUGUGAAGGUUGAUACAGAUGAUGAAUAUGAAUUUGCACGUGACAUGCAGGUCCGAGGGCUCCCGACUGUGUUCUUCAUUAGUCCGGAUCCGAACAAGGAUGCGAUCCGAACCGAAGGGCUGGUCCCGAUACAGAUGAUGAGGGACAUCAUUGACAAUGAAAUGUGAGACAUUAGAUGGUGCUGAUUCGCCAUAAAGAAAGUGGGGUUGCAAUAUCCUGUCUGGUGUAACGUUGCAAGUGACAAGAAUGGUUUUCUAACAUCCUAUGAAAUAAUAAAACGAAAAACAGAAGACAAGGAAACAGGCUUCAGCGAGAAUGAAGCUUACAUUGUCAGAUUUGCUUGCAAGAUACAUGAAAUGUAGCAUCAGGUAGUUGUUUGAGUUGUUUAAAUCUUAUUUUUCGAAUUUGAUCUUUAGAAGCAACAAGUUUUAUGACCAUUCUCUCUUCAUUGAAGUGAACGAUGAUGAAAUUAGAGAUUAGUUCUUGAUUUUGGACUCGCAUGGGUUAAAACUCAGGUGCAAUCGACUUCAUGUAAAGUUGAUAGUUGAGAACCGUUAGAUGAAAAUUUAGUAAAAUCAGUCAAAUUAUCUAACGAUUUUCAGUUAUCGACUUCACGUGAAGUCGACUGCACCUGAGUUUCUACCACAAACUAAUUGUUCUUCUUUAAAUUAGGUUAAUCUUGUCAAUGCUAUUAUUUAGAACCUAAACCUUUAAAUAGAAUAAUUAGAGUCCAAUAAUUAAGUGUAAGAAAAACG